Molecule: small RNA, 109 nt
Filed under: Aequorivita sp.
Lineage: Bacteria; Pseudomonadati; Bacteroidota; Flavobacteriia; Flavobacteriales; Flavobacteriaceae
Description: 6S RNA
Rfam family: 6S-Flavo RNA
Source: RNAcentral
ACUCAACACGAAUUCUUUAAAAAGGGUGAGUUGAAGUUGUAAAAGCGCGCCGUCUUUGAGCGGAUACUUGAUCAGCUUGUUAGCCCUAAACAUUCAUUUUAAGGAGUUU